GCUCAGCUAGCUCAGUCGGUAGAGCAUGGGACUCUUAAUCCCAUAGUCGUGGGUUUGUGCCUCAUGUUGGAUG
RNAcentral lists this transfer RNA (73 nucleotides) under Cricetulus griseus (Chinese hamster). It matches the Rfam family "tRNA". From Rfam's summary of the family: Transfer RNA (tRNA) molecules are approximately 80 nucleotides in length. The record is from Rfam by way of RNAcentral. Lineage: Eukaryota; Metazoa; Chordata; Mammalia; Rodentia; Cricetidae.